RNAcentral lists this ribosomal RNA (366 nucleotides) under Salmonella enterica. RNAcentral's name for it is "partial 23S ribosomal RNA". It matches the Rfam family "Bacterial large subunit ribosomal RNA", at positions 455 to 722 of the family's 2925-position model. The record is from RNAcentral. Lineage: Bacteria; Pseudomonadati; Pseudomonadota; Gammaproteobacteria; Enterobacterales; Enterobacteriaceae. RNAcentral also lists the same sequence under 2 other names.
AUCCUCCAAGGCUAAAUACUCCUGACUGACCGAUAGUGAACCAGUACCGUGAGGGAAAGGCGAAAAGAACCCCGGCGAGGGGAGUGAAAAAGAACCUGAAACCGUGUACGUACAAGCAGUGGGAGCCCCACCACUAAGCCAGUGGUGAACUCCACAUACGCAUCCUUUGCUGAGGAUACGGUUAACGGAGCGAAAGCGACGUUCAACCUCAAAAGAAGCAGAGGGGGCUUAGUGGUGGGGUGACUGCGUACCUUUUGUAUAAUGGGUCAGCGACUUAUAUUCUGUAGCAAGGUUAACCGUAUAGGGGAGCCGGAGGGAAACCGAGUCUUAAUUGGGCGUUAAGUUGCAGGGUAUAGACCCGAAACC